This is a long non-coding RNA of Cyprinus carpio carpio, 1285 nucleotides long. NCBI's taxonomy places the organism in Eukaryota, Metazoa, Chordata, Actinopteri, Cypriniformes, Cyprinidae. The record is from Ensembl.
UCCCUAUAGGGCUUGGGCGCCGCGUUGCAUUCUGGGACGUCGCGGCCAUGUUGAUGGCGUCGUGAAUGUAAACAUACAGCAAGUCGAACGAGAAGAAACAGAGUUGGGAGAAAGAAAAAAUAUGUUAAAAUCGCGAAAAGGUUGUGGGAUUUACAGGGAUACGCUAAGUAGGGAUGCCAGGGAUCGGUAUGUGGACAAAAUCGGCACUAUUAACGGUUUGGAUCAAUAUGAAAAUCCCAACAAAGAGUGGAGCACCGACGACGAGUUGCUGCCGCACUUUUGCAUUACAGAUAUCUUCGGCUACCUUGUUUGUUUUGUGAGCGCCUACACUUCAGAACAGUUCCGAGGCUACAAGUCAUUGGAGUCUCAUGUGCAGUUCACAAAUGGAUGGGUUAAGGAACUGCAGAUCAUAAAGCCGGCAAACAGUAUACAGUAAUCCAGACAAAGACGGACGCACAACUUCAACGUGCAAUCCAAAAACGUCACAACGUCAUUUACAUACACAUGUCGGCGGAUGACACGUGCCGAUGACAUCACCUCAUUUAUCCUCAAUUUCCCGCGAAAGACCUACGCAGCGAUUAAAGAGCAGAGAAACCACAUCUUUGUCUUUUUGCUGUCCGAGACAUUAAACCAGGAGAAGAGAUUACUUACAGCUAUGGAGACUGGGAUUGGCAAGCCAAGCGUUCAUCACCUGCUCCUGUGACUGCUACAUCAUCCUCAUCCUCAUCCUCACCUGUGAGGAAAAGUUCAUCACCUGCCCCUGUUACUGCUACAUCAUCCUCAUCCUCACCUGUGAGGAAAAGUUAAUCACCUGCCCCUGUUACUGCUACAUCAUUCUCAUCCUCAUCCUCACCUGUGAGGAAAAGUUCAUCACCUGCCCCUGUGACUGCUACAUCAUCCUCAUCCUCACCUGUGAGGAAAAGUUCAUCAAGAAAAAGACAGCAGGAGAGGUUUCAGUCAAGAUUGGUCACACUACGGGAACAUCAUAACAAUUGCUCCAAGCGCUUUAAUAGAGCAGAAGUUGAAAAAACCAACAGAACAAAAAAGACUGCCAUACUUGAGGAUUGCGUUCUCUAGGUUUUCGUCGGUCGAGAGGGAGCUGCUGUUGUAGUGGAGUAUUGUUGUCAUUGCCCCCCCCCCAAAACAAAAGAAAGGAAAACUGCUCUUGACUGAAUCACUUAUUAACUUAAAUAAGAAUCAUCUAUAUUUAAUGUAUAGAGUGAAGAUUAUUUUUACAUUAAUUACUUCAUAAAAAUAUCUGUAGUAGGCUAUUUUUAGAAGCCUU